CGUCGGGAAAUGCAUAAAGUGUUCGUUUCCGGAUUGUGAGUUUGACAACAUGUACACAAAUUAAUAUUGUUUUUCUGAUAGAUUGACUCUUUGCAUUUACGCGAAAUUACUUUCCCUCGAUUCCAGGAGCCCUAGUGAAAUGAUGGGAACUAUGUCGUAUUUAUUGCGGCGUGGUCUACCAUGACUGUAAAUUUAGCUUUACGAUUGAUACAGAAGUCGUCUGCUUGGCAGCUUCCGUGGUUGACGGCAGAAGAGGAGUUUCAACGGGCUUUCAUCGUAGAUCUGUUUGGUUCCUUCAGAAAUAACAAUGAAGCACAACAUAUGCAUGGUGUCUGACUUCUUCUACCCCAACAUGGGAGGAGUUGAGAGUCACAUAUACCAGCUGUCUCACUGCCUCCUGGAACGUGGACACAAGGUUAUUGUCAUUACCCAUCUCUAUGGCAACAGACGAGGAGUCCGAUAUCUCUCCAGUGGUUUAAAGGUGUACUACUUGCCGUUCCCCCCUUUCUACAACCAGUGCAUACUGCCCACCAUCUACACCACCUUCCCCUUACUGAGGAAUAUAUUCAUUAGAGAAAAGAUUUCAAUAGUUCAUGGACAUUCCGCGUUCUCCACCUUGGCGCAUGAGGCCAUGCUGCAUGCACGCACGCUGGGGCUGAAGACCGUGUUCACCGACCACUCGCUGUUUGGGUUCGCAGAUGCCAGCUCAAUUCUUACAAACAAAGUGCUGAAGUUUUCUCUAGCUGACUGCAACCACGUGAUAUGUGUCUCCUACACCAGUAAAGAGAACACAGUGUUGAGAGCUCGGAUCAACCCAGAACUUGUAUCAGUUAUACCUAACGCGGUGGAUGCUACCAUGUUUAUGCCGGACCCAACCAAGAGGAACCCAGAUAAAAUCACAGUGGUGGUCGUCAGUCGCCUGGUAUAUAGGAAGGGCAUGGACUUCCUGGUGGGUAUCAUCCCCCAGAUCACAGCCAGAUACCCAGACGUGCAGUUUAUCAUAGGGGGAGACGGGCCGAAGCGGGUUGUUCUGGAGGAAGUGAGAGAGCAAUAUGAACUUCACGACCGGGUCACUCUGCUAGGUCCACUCAAACACGACCAAGUUCGGGGCGUUCUUGUUCAAGGGGAUAUAUUGCUGAAUACGUCCCUGACUGAGGCAUUCUGUAUUGCCAUAGUGGAGGCAGCAUGCUGUGGGCUUCAGGUCGUAAGUACGAGAGUCGGGGGUGUUGGGGAGGUGUUGCCCCCUGAUCUCAUCUACCUGGCAGAACCCAAUGUCAAAGCUCUGGUCGAGGAACUUGAAAGAGCAAUCAAGGACAAAAAACAUGGCAGAGUUGUCUCCCCUCACGAAGCACACGAGAGAAUUCAGGACCUUUACACAUGGCGCAAUGUUGCAAAGAGAACAGAAGUAGUGUACAAUACAGUUAGCCAGAAGCCAACACGAGACCUUCCUGAUCGACUUUUGAGGUACUACCAGUGUGGCCCACUGUCCGGGAAGCUGUUUGUGAUUGCUGCUGUCCUCAAUGUAGCAGUCUUGUGGAUUCUGCAGUGGUUGUGGCCCGAUAAUACAAUAGAGCCUGCCCCUGUAUUUUCAACACCUGUUCCAUGGAAGAAGACAAGAAGAUGAUAUUGCAACCGUCAUUGUAAAAUUUGAAGUAUAUAUAAGUUAUCACAUCAGGGUGUUUGACAAACUGGUACGAACAAGACAUAAAGAUAUGCAUAUGUUGCAUUAUAGACUUACAGAAAAAAAGUUGUUAAAUUAUCUUAAUAAAAUAUAAUAAAAAGAAGCCCAGAGACUCUUCAUUUUCAGAAACUGCAAUAUUCUAGACCUGCCCACUAUAAUAGACUUGCAUGAGCUGUGUUGGAUAUAUUUGUUUCAGAGUCUAUAUGACAGGCUAUUGGAUAGCAGGCUAUUGGUGUUAUAUUGCCCAUGUCACCUCUAGAUUGCAAUGCAUGGAUAAAGUGAUAAUUAUCUUAAUAUCUAUUGCAAUCACCCAGUACUAUUAUCUUUUUUAUGUAAACCAGUAUAUAUGUUACAUACAAUAAAUUAUUAUUUUCUUAUAUAUA
This 2064-nucleotide unclassified non-coding RNA is filed under the name Haliotis rufescens (red abalone). RNAcentral describes it as "phosphatidylinositol N-acetylglucosaminyltransferase subunit A-like, transcript variant X3". The record is from RNAcentral. Lineage: Eukaryota; Metazoa; Mollusca; Gastropoda; Lepetellida; Haliotidae.